RNAcentral lists this ribosomal RNA (573 nucleotides) under Anaplasma bovis. Its description in RNAcentral is "bacterial SSU rRNA". It matches the Rfam family "Bacterial small subunit ribosomal RNA", at positions 946 to 1515 of the family's 1533-position model. Lineage: Bacteria; Pseudomonadati; Pseudomonadota; Alphaproteobacteria; Rickettsiales; Anaplasmataceae. The record is from RNAcentral.
UUAAUUCGAUGCAACGCGAAAAACCUUACCACUCCUUGACAUGAAGAUUAGAUCCUCCUUAACAGGAGGGCGCAGUUGGGCUGGGUCUUGCACAGGUGCUGCAUGGCUGUCGUCAGCUCGUGUCGUGAGAUGUUGGGUUAAGUCCCGCAACGAGCGUAACCCUCACCCUUAGUUGCCAGCGGGUAAUGCCGGGGACUUUAAGGGAACUGCCAGUGGUAAGCUGGAGGAAGGUGGGGAUGAUGUCAAGUCAGCAUGGCCCUUAUGGGGUGGGCUACACACGUGCUACAAUGGUGACUACAAUAGGUUGCAAUGCCGUAAGGCUGAGCUAAUCCGUCAAAAGUCAUCUUAGUUCGGAUUGUCCUCCGCAACUCGAGGGCAUGAAGUAGGAAUCGCUAGUAAUCGUGGAUCAGCAUGCCACGGUGAAUACGUUCUCGGGUCUUGUACGCACUGCCCGUCACGCCAUGGGAAUUGGCUUAACUCGAAGCUGGUGCGCCAACCGAAAGGAGGCAGCCAUUUAAGGUUGGGUCAGUGACUAGGGUGAAGUCGUAACAAGGUAGCUGUAGGUGAACCUGC